GAGUUUGAUCCUGGCUCAGGAUGAACGCUGGCGGCGUGCCUAACACAUGCAAGUCGAGCGAUUUACUUCGGUAAAGAGCGGCGGACGGGUGAGUAACGCGUGGGUAACCUGCCCUAUACACACGGAUAACAUACCGAAAGGUAUGCUAAUACGAGAUAAUAUAAGAGAUUCACAUGGAUUUCUUAUCAAAGCUGAGGCGGUAUAGGAUGGACCCGCGUCUGAUUAGCUAGUUGGUAAGGUAACGGCUUACCAAGGCGACGAUCAGUAGCCGACCUGAGAGGGUGAUCGGCCACAUUGGAACUGAGACACGGUCCAAACUCCUACGGGAGGCAGCAGUGGGGAAUAUUGCACAAUGGGCGAAAGCCUGAUGCAGCAACGCCGCGUGAGUGAUGAAGGCCUUCGGGUCGUAAAACUCUGUCCUCAAGGAAGAUAAUGACGGUACUUGAGGAGGAAGCCCCGGCUAACUACGUGCCAGCAGCCGCGGUAAUACGUAGGGGGCUAGCGUUAUCCGGAUUUACUGGGCGUAAAGGGUGCGUAGGUGGUCUCUUAAGUCAGGAGUGAAAGGCUACGGCUUAACCGUAGUAAGCUCUUGAAACUGGGAGACUUGAGUGCAGGAGAGGAAAGAGGAAUUCCUAGUGUAGCGGUGAAAUGCGUAGA
Molecule: ribosomal RNA, 657 nt
Filed under: uncultured bacterium
Lineage: Bacteria
Description: bacterial SSU rRNA
Rfam family: Bacterial small subunit ribosomal RNA
Source: RNAcentral